Molecule: transfer RNA, 77 nt
Filed under: Thermodesulfatator atlanticus
Lineage: Bacteria; Pseudomonadati; Thermodesulfobacteriota; Thermodesulfobacteria; Thermodesulfobacteriales; Thermodesulfatatoraceae
Also listed under: 2 other names
Description: tRNA-Arg
Rfam family: tRNA
About the family: Transfer RNA (tRNA) molecules are approximately 80 nucleotides in length. Their secondary structure includes four short double-helical elements and three loops (D, anti-codon, and T loops).
Source: RNAcentral
GCCCCCGUAGCUCAAUCGGAUAGAGCAGCGGCCUUCUAAGCCGUUGGUUGGGGGUUCGAGUCCUCCCGGGGGCACCA